GUGGGGAAUCUUGUGCAAUGGGCGAAAGCCUGACGCAGCCAUGCCGCGUGAAUGAUGAAGGUCUUAGGAUUGUAAAAUUCUUUCACCGGGGACGAUAAUGACGGUACCCGGAGAAGAAGCUCCGGCUAACUUCGUGCCAGCAGCCGCGGUAAUACGAAGGGGGCUAGCGUUGCUCGGAAUUACUGGGCGUAAAGGGCGCGUAGGCGGACAGCUUAGUCAGAGGUGAAAGCCCAGGGCUCAACCUUGGAAUUGCCUUUGAUACUGGCUGUCUUGAGUUUGGGAGAGGUGAGUGGAACUCCGAGUGUAGAGGUGAAAUUCGUAGAUAUUCGGAAGAACACCAGUGGCGAAGGCGACUCACUGGCCCAAUACUGACGCUGAGGCGCGAAAGCGUGGGGAGCAAACAGGAUUAGAAACCCCGGUAGUCC
RNAcentral lists this ribosomal RNA (425 nucleotides) under uncultured bacterium. RNAcentral describes it as "partial 16S ribosomal RNA". It matches the Rfam family "Bacterial small subunit ribosomal RNA", at positions 354 to 796 of the family's 1533-position model. The record is from RNAcentral.